This 439-nucleotide ribosomal RNA is filed under the name uncultured Desulfobulbus sp. RNAcentral's name for it is "bacterial SSU rRNA". It matches the Rfam family "Bacterial small subunit ribosomal RNA", at positions 950 to 1382 of the family's 1533-position model. The record is from RNAcentral. Lineage: Bacteria; Pseudomonadati; Thermodesulfobacteriota; Desulfobulbia; Desulfobulbales; Desulfobulbaceae.
UUCGAUGCAACGCGAAGAACCUUACCUGGUCUUGACAUCCCGGAGAACCCUUAGGAAACUAGGGGGUGCUUCCAUCUGGAAGAAUCUGGAGACAGGUGCUGCAUGGCUGUCGUCAGCUCGUGUCGCGAGAUGUUGGGUUAAGUCCCGCAACGAGCGCAACCCUUGCCUUUAGUUGCCAGCAGUUCGGCUGGGCACUCUAAAGGGACUGCCGGUGUUAAACCGGAGGAAGGUGGGGAUGACGUCAAGUCCUCAUGGCCUUUAUGACCAGGGCUACACACGUACUACAAUGGCCGAUACAAAGGGCAGCGACACUGCGAGGUGAAGCCAAUCCCGUAAAAUCGGUCUCAGUCCGGAUUGGAGUCUGCAGCUCGACUCCAUGAAGUUGGAAUCGCUAGUAAUCGUGGAUCAGCAUGCCACGGUGAAUACGUUCCCGGGCCUU